CUUCUGUCGGAUUUUCCAGCACCACACAAAGAGCUGUCUUCGAGACCAGACACCCUACCCCUUCUUCCUUCUGCUUGGGUACUUCCUUCUGCUUGGCUCCCAGAGUGAGAAACUAGGCAUUCAUUUGUUCAAUCUUCAAACAUAGUCUAUUUGAAAAUACCUCUCCCCUAUUGACACCCUAAUGUCUAAAACACCACCAUAAACAUUUUCAUCCUCCUUUUGUGCCCCCUAUUAAGAAGCAAACCUGUGAAGCUACUAUCGUUUAUCAUCAGUGUGAAUGCACUGAGAUUAGUCAAGAACAACUUUUUUUUUUCUUUUCUUUCUUUUUUGAGACGCAGUCUCGCUCUGUUGCCCAGGGUGGAGUGCAGUGGCACAAUCUCGGCUCACUGCAACCUCUGUCUCCCGGGUUCGAGCAAUUCUCUGCCUCAGCCUCCCAAGUAGCGGGGAUUACAGGCGCCCACCACCAUGCCCGGCUAAUUUUUUUUUGUAUUUUUAGUAGAAACAAGGUUUCACCAUCUUGGCCAGGCUGGUCUUGAACUCCUGACCUUGUGAUCCACCUGCAUUGGCCUCCCAAAGUGCUGGGAUUACAGACAUGAGCCACUGUGCCCGGCCAUAUGUUUUUCUUAAGAGAGAAAGGAAAGAGCUGGAAGGCACGGGGGUGGGAGGGCCUGAAGAAGAGCAUAGGUUGGGUGGGGUGGGGCAUGGACUGAUUUGGCCUCUUUGUCUUGAUGCCAGGCCAGACCUGAGGGAGUGGGUAUGCUCUUGGGGAGUACACAGGCAGUACCAUGCUGUCAUUAUCUUUGCUUUUGUCUUGGGGGUUUAGCCAAAGAUUUCAUCCGGCACUUGAUGGAGAAGGACCCAGAGAAAAGAUUCACCUGUGAGCAGGCCUUGCAGCACCCAUGGAUUGCAGGAGAUACAGCUCUAGAUAAGAAUAUCCACCAGUCGGUGAGUGAGCAGAUCAAGAAGAACUUUGCCAAGAGCAAGUGGAAGCAAGCCUUCAAUGCCACGGCUGUGGUGCGGCACAUGAGGAAACUGCAGCUGGGCACCAGCCAGGAGGGGCAGGGGCAGACGGCGAGCCAUGGGGAGCUGCUGACACCAGUGGCUGGGGGUGAGGAGCGGGCUCUGCAGAAGGGCAUGGGUGGUCCACAGAGGUGCACCCGGGCUGGAGUGGAGGGCCUGCCCCUGCGGCCACCUCUGUUCUGUCUUCCCAUGCAGGGCCGGCAGCUGGCUGUUGCUGUCGAGACUGCUGCGUGGAGCCGGGCACAGAACUGUCCCCCACACUGCCCCACCAGCUCUAGGGCCCUGGACCUCGGGUCAUGAUCCUCUGCGUGGGAGGGCUUGGGGGCAGCCUGCUCCCCUUCCCUCCCUGAACCGGGAGUUUCUCUGCCCUGUCCCCUCCUCACCUGCUUCCCUACCACUCCUCACUGCAUUUUCCAUACAAAUGUUUCUAUUUUAUUGUUCCUUCUUGUAAUAAAGGGAAGAUAAAACCA
This 1490-nucleotide small RNA is filed under the name Pan troglodytes (chimpanzee). RNAcentral describes it as "retained intron". Lineage: Eukaryota; Metazoa; Chordata; Mammalia; Primates; Hominidae. The record is from RNAcentral.